Molecule: ribosomal RNA, 274 nt
Filed under: uncultured bacterium
Lineage: Bacteria
Description: partial 16S ribosomal RNA
Rfam family: Bacterial small subunit ribosomal RNA
Source: RNAcentral
ACACGGGGGGCGCAAGCGUUAUUCGGAAUUAUUGGGCGUAAAGGGCGCGUAGGCGGCUUGGUAAGUCAGAUGUGAAAGCCCGGGGCUUAACCCCGGAAGUGCAUUUGAAACUAUCAGGCUUGAGUAUGGGAGAGGGAAGUGGAAUUCCUGGUGUAGAGGUGAAAUUCGUAGAUAUCAGGAGGAACACCGGUGGCGAAGGCGACUUCCUGGACCAAUACUGACGCUGAGGCGCGAAGGCGUGGGGAGCAAACAGGAUUAGAUACCCCAGUAGUCC